CUACGGGAGGCUCCAGUGAGGAAUAUUGCACAAUGGGGGGAACCCUGAUGCAGCAACGCCGCGUGGAGGAUGACGCAUUUCGGUGUGUAAACUCCUUUUAUAUGUCAAGAAAAUGACGGUAGCAUAUGAAUAAGCACCGGCUAACUCCGUGCCAGCAGCCGCGGUAAUACGGAGGGUGCAAGCGUUACUCGGAAUCACUGGGCGUAAAGGACGCGUAGGCGGGUUGGGAAGUCAGGUGUGAAGUCCUACAGCUUAACUGUAGAACUGCACUUGAAACUUCUAAUCUAGAGUAUGGGAGGGGGAGAUGGAAUUAGUGGUGUAGGGGUAAAAUCCGUAGAUAUCACUAGGAAUACCUAAAGCGAAGGCGAUCUCCUGGAACAUUACUGACGCUAAGGCGUGAAAGCGUGGGGAGCAAACAGGAUUAGAUACCCCCGUAGUC
Molecule: ribosomal RNA, 439 nt
Filed under: uncultured bacterium
Lineage: Bacteria
Description: partial 16S ribosomal RNA
Rfam family: Bacterial small subunit ribosomal RNA
Source: RNAcentral